CAGUAGCCGCGGUAAUACGUAGGUGGCAAGCGUUGUCCGGAAUUAUUGGGCGUAAAGCGCGCGCAGGUGGUUUAAUAAGUCUGAUGUGAAAGCCCACGGCUCAACCGUGGAGGGUCAUUGGAAACUGUUAAACUUGAGUGCAGGAGAGGAGAGUGGAAUUCCACGUGUAGCGGUGAAAUGCGUAGGGAUGUGGAGGAACACCAGUGGCGAAGGCGGCUCUCUGGUCUGUAACUGACGCUGAGGAGCGAAGGCGUGGGGAGCGAACAGGAUUAGAUACCCCCGAAGUCCCUGUCUCUUAUAC
RNAcentral lists this ribosomal RNA (301 nucleotides) under uncultured bacterium. RNAcentral describes it as "partial 16S ribosomal RNA". It matches the Rfam family "Bacterial small subunit ribosomal RNA", at positions 509 to 807 of the family's 1533-position model. The record is from RNAcentral.